AUUGAACGCUGGCGGCAUGCCUUACACAUGCAAGUCGAACGGCAGCACGGGAGCAAUCCUGGUGGCGAGUGGCGAACGGGUGAGUAAUAUAUCGGAACGUGCCCAGUCGUGGGGGAUAACGUAGCGAAAGCUACGCUAAUACCGCAUACGAUCUAUGGAUGAAAGCGGGGGAUCGCAAGACCUCGCGCGAUUGGAGCGGCCGAUAUCAGAUUAGGUAGUUGGUGGGGUAAAAGCCUACCAAGCCUUCGAUCUGUAGCUGGUCUGAGAGGACGACCAGCCACACUGGAACUGAGACACGGUCCAGACUCCUACGGGAGGCAGCAGUGGGAAUAUUGGACAAGUGGGGGCAACCCUGAUCCAGCCAUGCCGCGUGCAGGAUGAAGGCC
Molecule: ribosomal RNA, 386 nt
Filed under: uncultured bacterium
Lineage: Bacteria
Description: bacterial SSU rRNA
Rfam family: Bacterial small subunit ribosomal RNA
Source: RNAcentral